Molecule: ribosomal RNA, 253 nt
Filed under: uncultured prokaryote
Description: partial 16S ribosomal RNA
Rfam family: Bacterial small subunit ribosomal RNA
Source: RNAcentral
UACGGAGGGUGCAAGCGUUAUCCGGAUUCACUGGGUUUAAAGGGUGCGUAGGUGGAUUGGUAAGUCAGUGGUGAAAUCUUUGGGCUUAACCCAAAAAUUGCCAUUGAUACUGCAGGGCUUGAGUACAGUUGCUGUGGGCGGAAUAUGACAUGUAGUGGUGAAAUACAUAGAGAUGUCAUAGAACACCGAUUGCGAAGGCAGCUCACAAAACUGUAGCUGACGCUGAGGCUCGAAAGUGCGGGGAUCAAACAGG